UACCAGCACUUGCAAGUCUUGCGAUGAAUUUAAACAUUCCCCUCACAGACCUUUUAAUGUUUGUAUGAACACACACACCUAUACCCAAGUGGUGAAAGAGAAGGAAGCUGACAGACAUCAGCAGCUGAAUAUUUUCACAGUGUGCAAUUUGUUAUUCACCACAGGGCUGCCAUUCCCUCCCUUUUGAAGGCUCCCUACUUUCCCCUAGCCAAGUUGCUAAGCAACAGCUUGAGUCAACAAUUGCCAACUGGGCUAGUGAAAUGAAAGAUUGGGGGGAGAAAGGGGGAGAAAAAGGACUCUGAAGGAGAAGGUUCCAACUUGUGAAGAGAAUGAUCCCGAAGCCUCAAGGAGCCAGAAGCAGUUCCAGAUUUGGAUUUUUAAAAAGAAACCAAAAUCAGAAACAGGAAAGCUUAUCCAUCCAAUUUUUCUACAUGCAGAUGCUCUUCUGAGCUCACCUCAAGCUGAAUGGAAAGGAGCUGUGUAAACAUUGUCUCAUCGGAUUACUGUACAACUUUACCAUUUUGUAGUACACCAAACUUCCAACAAAAAAAUAGGUGCUGGUACUGACCAUGAUGUUGUUACAUUAAGUGCCACACUUUUUAACAACCAAAAAAGAGACGCCGGUACUGCAUACAGUGGAAUUUCCAAAAGAGGGCUAAAGUAUACCUCCACCUCCUCUAU
Podarcis raffonei (Aeolian wall lizard) is the source of this 681-nucleotide long non-coding RNA. RefSeq lists it as uncharacterized. The transcript is spliced from 3 exons. Lineage: Eukaryota; Metazoa; Chordata; Lepidosauria; Squamata; Lacertidae. The record is from RefSeq and is a predicted model, not a curated record.